Molecule: ribosomal RNA, 478 nt
Filed under: uncultured bacterium
Lineage: Bacteria
Description: partial 16S ribosomal RNA
Rfam family: Bacterial small subunit ribosomal RNA
Source: RNAcentral
GAUGAACGCUGGCGGCGUGCUUAACACAUGCGAGUCGAACGAGAAGUGAAGACGGAAACCUUCGGGCGGAAGGCUUUAUUUCGAGUGGCGGACGGGUGAGUAACGCGUGGGUAACCUGCCUCAUACAGGGGGAUAACAGUUGGAAACGACUGUUAAUACCGCAUAAGACCACAGCACCGCAUGGUGCGGGGGUAAAAACUCCGGUGGUAUGAGAUGGACCCGCGUUCGAUUAGCCAGUUGGCGGGGUAACGGCCCACCAAAGCGACGAUCGAUAGCCGAUCUGAGAGGAUGACCGGACACAUUGGGACUGAGACACGGCCCAAACUCCUACGGGAGGCAGCAGUGGGGAAUAUUGCACAAUGGGGGAAACCCUGAUGCAGCGACGCCGCGUGAGUGAAGAAGUAUUUCGGUAUGUAAAGCUCUAUCAGCAGGGAAGAAAAUGACGGUACCUGAGUAAGAAGCCCCGGCUAACUACGUG